GCCUGGGUGGCUCAGUUGGUUGAGCUUCUGACUUCGGCUCAGGUCAUUUCUCACAGGCUGUGAGUUCAAGCCCCAUGUCAGGCU
This 84-nucleotide transfer RNA is filed under the name Felis catus (domestic cat). It matches the Rfam family "tRNA". From Rfam's summary of the family: Transfer RNA (tRNA) molecules are approximately 80 nucleotides in length. Their secondary structure includes four short double-helical elements and three loops (D, anti-codon, and T loops). Lineage: Eukaryota; Metazoa; Chordata; Mammalia; Carnivora; Felidae. The record is from Rfam by way of RNAcentral.